UGUAAUAAGAUAGGCCAGAAGAACACAGGAAAAAUGGGUCCAUUUGAAGAUGUGCUAGAGAACUCUGGACCAAACCUUAUUUUACAGAUGAGGAGCCAGAAUAAGAGCUGAGUAUCUGCGUGUUGUUUAUUACACAUUCUCUGGGUCUUCAGAAUGUUAGGCUAGAGGUUCCCAGAGCAGGUCGUAUUCUCAAGAAAAUUACUGACUCAAUAGGUCUUAUCUGAUUGAUUGAUUUAAAUAGCGUUAUUGUUUAGAUUGCUUUGAUAUGGUUUGUUAAAUAGUAAAGUAAAACAUAUAAAUUAUGAUGCUGUUGAUGAGGUAUAUCAGCUUUCUUAGAAAUACAAUGUCUGUGGCAAGUUUGUUUCUGGCAUUUGCUUUGAUGUGCCCAUGAAAUUAUAACCAGUAGGAGAAAAAAAAAGUUAUUUAUUGUUGUUGUUUUUAUAGUGGAGACUGGAGUCUUGCUAUGCUUUCCAGGCUGGUUUUGAACUCCUAACCUCAAGUGAUUUUCCUGCCUCAGCCUCCCAAAGUGCUGGGAUUACAGGCAUGAUCCACCCGGCCCUGCUGUUUUUAAGAAAUUACAAGUUAAAUCUUGUAUCAGUGAACAAGAUAAGGGAUCGUGAUGUGGAGCUGCACUUCCUGGUUCCAAAUCCUGGCUCCUCCCCUCAUCCCUGGCCUCCAGGACCACGGUGCAAGCCCUCAGCAGAGAAGGCCGGAGCGCCUUUUGAUUUCGGGAGACUGGCCCAGGAACUCUAGUCGCUUGGAAGGCGGAAGAGAAGGUGGUACCUGAGCCAGGUAUGAGCCACUCAGAGGCAGCCCGGGGCCGCCACUCACCUCGGAGAGGAGGAGCUGGAGUCCCAUGACCCGGACUGAGAGGAAAGGCGAGACUGAGUCUACCAGGUGAGGUAAAAAACACCCACUUGCUCACCUCGGAAGGGGCGGGCGAGGUGCUGCUCCUGGUGACCCGCGAGCGUGGAGCGCACCUGGGCGGAGGCGGAACUGAGGGGGUGUGGGCACUGCUUGUAGGGCCUGGAAGUAAACUCACCUGUGAGGGAGGCAGAGGCGGGGCCCGGCAAAAACCCACCUGAGCCGCCUGGAAACUCGACCCGCGAGCAGUUCCCGGGCUCGCACGGCGCGGCGGGGCCCCCCUCGGUCAGCCCGCGCG
This 1162-nucleotide long non-coding RNA is filed under the name Piliocolobus tephrosceles (Ugandan red Colobus). RNAcentral's name for it is "lncRNA (ENSPTEG00000000558.1)". Lineage: Eukaryota; Metazoa; Chordata; Mammalia; Primates; Cercopithecidae. The record is from RNAcentral.